ACGGAAUCUCUCGUUGCUAUGCACGCAGACUGUGUAAACAGGCCAAUAGAAGUCGCCUGUGUGAAAACUGAUCAUCUCAACAGGGGUUGUCAGGGACCCCUCGCUCUGAAGCCACCUUCCCAGUGUGACUUACAACAUAGGACAAGUAGCCGCGUGGACACUCUCACAGAAGGAAGGACAAGAAGAGCGACUCCACAUAUACAAGCAGGAGCUUUAGGAUGUUGGGCUAUGUUAAAAUGGGGAUGGGGAGAGACAGGGAUAACAUUUGUGAUGGCAGGUGCCAGGCAGCACAGGGAGAGUGAUACAAUUUCCAGUUGGGAAAUUUCACCCAGAGCUUGCUGCUUUCUUCUGAUUUUACUUCUCAAUAUCUGAAGUAUUUAUUUAAUUUUUUUCUGUCUUAUUGGACUAUAAAAUCAUGGAGUAUGAGGAUUAAGUCAUCUUUCCAUCUUUUUCCUAAGUCACAUAAACAAAUUCCAAUCCCUGCGCUCAUUUCUCAAAUUGAACAAGAGUAAAGAAGGCCAACAGCCAACUACAUCUUAUCAAGAAGAGUUUCUUAGAAAUAAGAUUAAAAUGGAAACAGACUUUUAAAGGAGAAACGGCUGCAUCCAUUUAUUGCAUUUUAUUGUCUACAGACUGUCAAGAGUAUACUGGAUGUGAGAAUUCAGCUGCAUCCUACGAUCUGCCUUCAGGAGGAC
Molecule: long non-coding RNA, 695 nt
Filed under: Equus caballus (horse)
Lineage: Eukaryota; Metazoa; Chordata; Mammalia; Perissodactyla; Equidae
Description: lncRNA (ENSECAG00000040528.2)
Source: RNAcentral